This is a long non-coding RNA of Patiria miniata (bat star), 1202 nucleotides long. RefSeq lists it as uncharacterized. Lineage: Eukaryota; Metazoa; Echinodermata; Asteroidea; Valvatida; Asterinidae. The record is from RefSeq and is a predicted model, not a curated record. The transcript has 2 exons.
CUCUGGACUGCGGUAUUUUGAAAGCUGUUUACAGAAAAGGCAUCAGAGUGGACAAGGCCAAUUUUAUGGUUGGGAGUUACAGACCCAAAACGGAGGAGCACAUCUUCCAGAGUCCCGUGGAUGAGUUACCCGCGGGUUUGUUAGGCCGUGGUGACUAUAUUGUCAAGAGUAAAUUCACAGACGAUGACAAGAAUAUCUACUUGGAGUGGGAGUGGAGUUUCUCCGUUAAGAGAGAUUGGGAAUAAGAUUAUAGUGAUGAUUUCCUACAAAGGAAAUUGGUCUACUGGAAGUGCGGUUUACUUGUAGAUGAUGCUGUUGGUGUUUGAAGGGGUACAUCAUGAAUGUGAAAUUCUUAAUUAAAUUUAUGUUAUCAUGGUUCAGCAAGUAUAGGGAUUAUGUUAGUUAAAUGUAUGCCACAACAUAUACAAUGAAUAUGUAAUUGAUUUUUUUCCCAAAGUGGCACUUUUUUUUUGAAGGAAUUAAUUGUGGCAUUAGUCAUCAGCAUUGCCAAUGAUGACUUUUUUUUAGUCUCUCAGAAAAAGGAACUGCAUGUUUCCCCCCCCCAAAAAAAAUGUGUACAUGUAUAUGGAUGCCAUCAUCUAUGUACAGAACAAAACAAAUGACGUAUACUUGUUUUGUAUGAACAUUGCCUUUUCUCAUUUUAUCAGAGCAACUUGUACAACUCUUUCAUUUUGUGGAAGUCUAUAAAACAACGCAUUUAUUAGGAAAUACAUUUUGAUGAUGCUAUUUGUUGUAAUCGCUUAUUAAGUUACUUUUGGGAAUAAAUGAUACAUGUUAGUUGUAUAGCAGGCUUUAUUUUAUCUUUGCAGCCUGCCUCAGGCUGUAAUUAGACUAUUUUGCCAUAGAUAUAGAUAUUUUCUGUUGUUAUAUUUUAAUUAUUAAAGGUUUGGUUUAAUAUAUGGUUUUGCUUUAGGUGCAUAAUAUGAUGUUAUAUUUCCGCAAUGAUGUAUGGCUUGUUUGCCAUAGUAGUGAUCUGGUGUCUUCUAUGUUGUCAUCUAAUUCAUGGAGAUUUUGACCAAGCGCUUUGGGAACCUGGUAACAUAAAGCCACCAGUAUUACAACAGUUGCAUGCCUACCACCCGGCAAGCUUUUUUUGUCAGCACUAGAAUGUAGUUUCUUUAAUGAAAGCAUGGAAUACAUUACCUCAUCAAAUAACGAUCAGCCCAUGUUGGCAUAAAUAU